GACGAACGCUGGCGGCGUGCCUAAUACAUGCAAGUUGAGCGCUGAAGGUUGGUACUUGUACCGACUGGAUGAGCAGCGAACGGGUGAGUAACGCGUGGGGAAUCUGCCUUUGAGCGGGGGACAACAUUUGGAAACGAAUGCUAAUACCGCAUAAAAACUUUAAACACAAGUUUUAAGUUUGAAAGAUGCAAUUGCAUCACUCAAAGAUGAUCCCGCGUUGUAUUAGCUAGUUGGUGAGGUAAAGGCUCACCAAGGCGAUGAUACAUAGCCGACCUGAGAGGGUGAUCGCCCACUUGGGGACGGACACCGGCCCAAACCCCCGCCGGGAGGCAGCAGUAGGGAAUCUUCGGCAAGGGACGAAGGUCUGACCGAGCACCGCGGCGGGGUGAAAGAAGUUGUUCGGAUCGAAAAACUUUGUUGGAGGAGAAGAACGUGGGUGAGAGUGGAAAGCUCAUCAAGUGAGGGUAACAACCCAGAAAGGAACGGCUAACUACGU
This 496-nucleotide ribosomal RNA is filed under the name uncultured bacterium. RNAcentral's name for it is "partial 16S ribosomal RNA". It matches the Rfam family "Bacterial small subunit ribosomal RNA", at positions 28 to 506 of the family's 1533-position model. The record is from RNAcentral.